Molecule: long non-coding RNA, 7585 nt
Organism: Gadus macrocephalus (Pacific cod)
Lineage: Eukaryota; Metazoa; Chordata; Actinopteri; Gadiformes; Gadidae
Exons: 2
Source: RefSeq, a predicted model, not a curated record
AAACCUCUGCUGUCACUCCUCGGCCAUGUGGACUCUGGUCAUGUCUUCUCACCAAGGCCUUUUCUUCCAGACGUCUAGUAAACCACGAUGGGGGGGGCAUUCUGGCUCACACCACAGUUACCAGCAGUGAGAAGAUAGGAGUGGUUUAUUGAUAAUGGCACUAUUGUUUUGAUCAAUAUAAUAAGCUGAAAGGAACAUAUUCCUCAGUGGGGGUUGAGCAUGUUGUUUUGGAGUUGUCAAGGAAACAUGAAAAAUCUGGUCGAUACUCCUGUUUUUGAGAGUUGUCAUUAAUGUUGGAUUUUGUGGUACAUUCACGGAAAUGUUUAAAGGCAUUGGUGUCCCGUUACAGAAAACUAAUGCCCAACCUUUAAAGAUUCAGUGAACCCAAAACCAUUUUUCUUUUGCCAAAGUGAUUUGUUAGCCUGGUCCUACCAGACUCUCGUACUUCAUUUCAUUUGCACAGAGAGUCUGGACUCACUCAAUUGACGAACGUUAACUCACUUGAAGGCGGAUGUCUGUUGAAGUUUAAAACUAUUGGAUCUGCCCAGUGCCACUCUGGAUCCAUUACCAUCGCUAACGUUUGGCCGGGAAUUACGUUGCGUGCAUGCUGUAAACAAACCAGGCAGCGGUGGACUGCGAUGUCCGUGAGAAAGUUGAGCUUUUUGGACACUUGCAGUAUAACGCCACGAUGUGUGUGGGAUGGUGACGCUCCAUCUGAGCGGCGACGUGUUUAAUGUCCAAUUCCGAUUGAGGGAUGGCUUUCCGGACACCUGUAGUACAACGCAAAGGUGUGUGGUGGAUUUCAUACAACAUCGCUUGUUAUAACGCUCAUAGACAGGCAGUGUUUCCCAUACAUCUGUAGUCUGUACGCCACACAUUGUAGACAAUGUGUGGCGUAGUCCCACAGAAUCAACACCGAGCUCCACAAAAAAACAUGGAGGAGAGUGAAAGUGACAAUUCUGAAUAGGAGAAGGACUAACACGACCAGCCAUGACAAAGUGAGCUCGUACCUAAAAGAGGGGCUACGAAAUAGUCCUUUCCAUGUGGUCACUUUAUAUAAACUACCGUAAUUUUCGGACUAUAAGACGCGCCUUUUUUUUCUUAUUUUUCGAUUCUGCGGCUUGUAUAACGGUGCGGUAGAGGACAGCUGAUUUGGAACGGAACAACAGCUGUUCGCUUUCACGGGGAAAGACUAAGGAACUUCAACCUACUUAGGCCUACUAAUUAACCUUCAAAAGCUAUUAAAUCUUCAGCAAAAUAUGCAGAUACUGUCAAAAUCGGUUCCAGGGAGUAUAUAGGGAAAAUACGGUAUUUAUUCAUUGAAUUUACAGAAAAUGUGCUAUAUCGUGAUAUAUAUCGUUAUCGGGAUAUGAAUGACCUAUAUCGGGAUAUGAUAUUUUGGUCAUAUCGCCCAGCCCUAUUCUGUUCACAUUCAUCUCAUCAUAGCACUCUUUCUCCCUGACAUUCUCGUUUACACGCAUACGAACACGCACACAGAGACAAGCGCGCAUUCAUGCAAGUGGUGCGCGGGUACACUUAUAAACAGCUGAUUCGGCCUCUCCUCCUCUCAACGCGCAUAUCAAAGGAAACCCUGCAGUAGCGGGAUAUUUGGGCCAGAGAAGACGGUCCGUUUCAACAAAGUUUAGUAUGAUAUGCUGUGCUCAAAGACACCUGCCCAGAAUAUUGUUAACUCAGAAUAGAUAAUGUUAGCCCUUGUGAACUCAACGUUAUUGAUAUUGAAUAUCCUGCACUAUAAGUCAGCUUAGAUAACGUUGAUAACCCAGCAAACGAUGCGAUUAAUAUGAAAUGCGGUUAUAGUUGAGAUGGGCUACGGUAUUAGACUGGGUACCCCCAGCCCGUUCUGCCGGGGAUUUGAAUUCGCUCUGCAGCAGGGGCUGGAGGACAUUACAUUUCUUUCUGUUUCCGAUCCGCUUUUAAUGGAGCCAAUCUCCAAGCUGGUGGCUGAUCAUGCAAAGCUAGGUUUGGGCAGAACCGCAGGCUACACUGUCAGCCUAGUCAGCAUGUCAUCUUGCGUCUUCAUGUCUUGCACGGACUGGAGCUCGUAACUCUUUAUCUCCUAGGAAAACCAAACUCGGUACACCAUUGCACAUUUAGAACUCGUGACUGGCUGAACCGAAUAUGGAGGUAAGUAGCACCCAGUGGUUACGGCCAGUGGUGGACAAGGUACUCGGACCACGUACUUGAGUAAAAGUUGUGAUACCUAGUGUAAAAUAUUACUCCAGCAAAAAGUGGAAGUACUCCCUUUAAACGUCGACUUGAGUAAAAGUAUAAACGUACUUGGCUUCAAAUGUACUUAAGUAUCAAAAGUAAAAGUAAUUUGGUGUAAUGUAGUUCCAAUGUCUUGCUAUGUCCUUAAUGCACUAAGUCCAAUCAAUUAAAGUUAAGAAAAUCAAACACUAACAACACUCUAAAUACAAUGUGUUCUAUUUGUGAUAACAGGUACUGAUAUCAUUUGAAAUUAUCAUAAGCACAAUAUACUAAACGGAAAAAAAUUGGUUAGGAAUAAACAGGAUGGGGGAAAAAAACAUUAGACACGUAUUUCUUUAACAAUCUAUUGUUAACUUGCAAAAACAGACUCCUUACAUGACUGUAUAACCUACCUAAAACUAAAAAUAUUGUUUUAGUUGGAGAAGGAGCUGAUUUUCAAAAUUUCUGGCGUCCAACCUUGCCCUUCGUUGGUUGAAAAUCAGUCCAGCAGUGCUAAAGAGGAGUUCGCACGCAGCAGAGGCUGGUAAGGCAGUGUUGAUUUUAAGAGACAAUUUGCAAACCGAAGGAUACGAUUUCAGUAUCUUUGUUGUCUACUUUAGAGGCAAGGUACCCUUCUAGCUGUUUAACAGUUUCCUGGCCAUGAGUUGUGCUCAUGCUUGAAAAUAAGUCAUCUUCAUCUGAAGUACUUGAUCCAUUGGCUUCCUCCAGAUGUUCCUUGAUGUAGUCAAGUCCUAAUAUACAACAUAUAUUGGGACAGAACAGAAAUCAUGUUAUAUAAAUCAUAGGGAAAUUCCGGUGUACAGUACAGAGGAAAGUAAUGAGCUUAUUUGAAGCAACAUGCAUAGAGUUAUGGAUAGGCAGCUAAAGCUGACCUAUGAGGGCAAAGAGCCAUCGGGUUCUAUGCCGCAUUAGAUAAGCUUUACUUCCCUGGCCACAACUAGGUCUAGGUUGUGCCAAAUUUCCUAGUUCUUUUUCCUGAACAUGAACAGCAUUUAGGCCCCGUUCACACGAAGCCGAUUUCAUGGCGAAACCGCAAAGGUCUUGUACGGUUCGGCCUUCCGUACACACGAAGCCGGCGAAUCCACUGACCGAAACCGCAAACUUCUGAAACCACCCUCGGAGGUGGUUUCAAAUCUACCCGGUUUCGUUUUGGAUUCGUGUGUACGCCUGAAACCGCAAACCAUGACGUCAUCGCCCCACCCCUCGACCUCCGAGCCAAUGGCUCUUAAGCCCGCGGAGUCUCAGAAAUCACAUGCGAGCAUGCGCAUAAGGGCAGCCUCUUUAUGCGCAUGCUCGCCUCUUCUUCUUAUUUCAUUUCUUCUGGAUUUCUGUACCAGAAGCAGCGCCCCUUAUGGGCCUGGAAUUUGUACUACAGCGUUUCUACAGAUCUACCCGGUUUCGCUUGGCAUCGUCUUUACGGAGAUACUUCGAAACCGGAUAGAUCGAAACCGUAACGGUUUCGCCCGUUUCGGCUUCGUGUGAACGGGGCCUUAGUGUCCUUGAACAAUAAGGCUAUGGGGUUCAUCUAUAUCAGUGGUUCUCAACCUUUUUUGAGCAAACGCCCCCCUGACCUUACCCUGAUCCUCUGCCAUUAUAAAAAAAAAAAAAAAAAACUAACAACCCCACUCACACUCGUUAUAUUGCAUCGUUUUUCAUUGAUUUUGCGUUGGUCACUAAUAGCAAUGAAUGCCCUCUGAGUCGGUUUUGGUGCAAAAAAUAUUUAUGACAUGCAAUAAAACUUCCAGAGCGAGAGAGCGAGAAAUUAUUGGAUUGAACAUUCAUUCACCGUGACCGCGGUGCGGGCACUCCCGCGACUCCCGGCCGCUACGUCUCCCGUCGUGCCGCGGCACCCUGCGGCCCGGGCACCGUGACCUUGGGCACCGCGACCACUCCCGCGUCUCCCUUGACUCCCGCCAUGCCCCGUGAACGAAUUAAUGAAUGGCCCAGGAACCACGGGCACCGCGGCCCAGGCAAAGCGGACUCCACGAAAACAGAUCGCACGCAGAGGCCUAAUAAGGCCUAUAUAUUUUGUAUUUGAAAUACAUAAUUGUUAAAUAUGAUCAGAUGGUCUUACAUCUAUUUUGUUCUUGGUCAAUAUGGGUUCAUACAGGCCAUAUACUUUUACAAACGGCACACAUUAACUACCUUCAUGUAUUUUAUAUGAAAUUUUAAGGGAGUUGAAUUGUGUAUGACAGGGAAUACAUCUUAAUAAUAUGGGGGGACCCAUGGUUUUUGCAAAGUCCUCCAGAAAGGCGAUUUCAAUUGAACUCAACCUGGUAUAAACAUAGAAUAUAAAGAACACUUUUAAGUAGGGGUGUAACGGUACACAAAAAUCUCUGUUCUGUACGUACGUCAGUUUUGAGGUCACGGUUCGGUUCAUUUUCGGUACAGUAAGAAAUCAAAAUGUUAAAUAUAAAUGCUUCAUAACAUGUGCUUCAAGUUGUUCAUAACACACUUCUGUGCUUUUUACAAUAGGAACAUUAGAAAAUACAAAGCUAGAAUUCUGCUCAAAAAUAUAAAGAAAUUCUGAAAUGUAGAAAUAAAAAUAAAUAACAUUGGCUCGGACAGUUUUUAAAAAAAUAUAUUAUCUAAUGUGCAACAAUGAACAAUUGCAACACUAAACAGUUUCAAGUUGUUGCUCAGAUUAAUUAAUCUUUAGCCCUGAUGACUUUCACUCAAUCUUAAUGUUUUUUGCCAGAAAUAUCAGCUUAUCCACAUUAUCUGCAGGAUAAUAAUACCCAAAAUUUGAGUGUACAUACGAUGUACCCUACAUGUUACUCCCGUAUACCACAAUGCAAUGCGGUCGUGUUUUUCCGGAGGAGAAGAAGCUGAAUAACCGCAAAAACGAAUAAAUUUAAUGUGGAGUCUCCGGCUUUCGUUUUAGAAAUGUCAACAAUUUAUUUGGGAUUUAACAUAGAAUAUUUAACAUUCAAAAUUAUUAAAAAAAAAACGAACAAAGGAAUGUAACAUUCAAAAUCAAUACAACCUCCAGCUUUCCUCGUGAGUGCCCGGUUUGUUAACAUGAUGUGGGUGCAUCUGUCUGCGUCACACAAAUACCCGGCGCAUUUACUGACGCAAAUUACGUUUAGAAAUGUUCAGCGUAGUGUCUUAAUUCUCGUUUGUUCGUUCCCUAAAUAGUGCACUAUAUCAUGACAAUAUAUAGGUAAUAGUGAGUGAGUGAAUAGGGAACGAUUUUGAACACAGCUACGGUGUGUGUAACUGCAUGUGCGGCCGCAGCAUUUUCCACACAUGCGGUCCUCUACCUAAUGUGUCCGCAUGGAAACUCGUUCGGUACGCCUCCGUACCGAACCGAGCACCCCGUCACGAAACGGUUCAAAUACAUGUCAAAUACAAAUACAUGUACUGUUACAUCCCUACUUUUAAGUCUUGUCUGUGUAUGUGAGUGGUGUCACUGCUCGGACUAUAAUUGUCCUCCAUUUCCCCUUACUUAAGGUAACGGAAUAGUUAAGCAAUAUUUUACAAUAUUACCUGCAUAUAUAUAUAAAAAAAAAAUACACUUGCAUUGGCAACUUCAGUGCUGUGCAUACAGUUCUCAAGGCCCCUUAUCCUUCAUCUUUGAUUCUUUCAAAAGAGAGAAAUAAUGAGUUCCAUCGGGUGUCAUUUGGACGGAUCAGUUUUUAUUUUGCAUGUUUCCUCUAUCAUGUCUGAAGCAGUGGAGGAUCGAGAUGUCUUGUUCCAUAAGCCACUGCAUUUUGCAAAAGCUGAUCGUGACAGUCUUUUAUAGGAGUCAUUGGAAUUGGCCUUGGCUGCAUCAACUGGAACUGGGUUUUCAGCUUUACUUUUUCGAGGGACUGUGAUGGCAUUGUAUCUUGCCAAGUGACUUGAAUGCUUUCUCUGGAAAGAAAGAGAAAAAAACACAUGAACAUCAUAUCUUCACAGCAAUAUAUCAAUUAUUUCAUAAAUGUAUUUGAAUCUGAAUAACUAGCUAGCCCAUCAAUAGCAAACAGGCUACUGUUCAAGUAGCUACCCAUCAUACCUUUAAUGUUAAUUGUUAACCUAGUCAAAUAGAAGCUAAAUAGCCGCGUUUACAUGGACACUUCUGAUCCGAUUCAAUUUCUAAUCGGAAUAAAUCUAUUCCUAUCAUGCAUCCGGAUGUACUGUACAGGGGUUUUUCUAGAAAAAAAAAGUAGCAGGGAGCAGACCCCUGCGCAAAGCCGAGGGAGCAAUGCGACCGAGGCGGGGGAUGGUGUGGAAGGGGGGUCUCCCCCUUCCACGGCGCGAAGCCUUUGAAAAAAUAAUGAUUCAAUGGUACAUUCUGAGGCUAUCUUAGAGAGAAAUUCUCGCAAAACUCUUGAUCAACACUCAGCAUUUGUUUAUUUCUGUCGUUCAUUGAAACCGCUUUGUGCAGAGAGAACUGGAAUGGUCUUAUAUACUUGCUUAGCAUCUUAGCGCCUAGACCAAAAACCCAUUCAAAUACAUAGUAGCUAGCUAGCUAGCUGCUAAUAACUUUAACGUUAGCAUGUCGACUCGGUCUGGGAAACUCCAAUUCGGAUCGGAAUAUUUUUGGAGUAAUUAUAAGUUAUUUGAGGAUCAGACACAUUGUCAGGUGGUGGUGUUGGGAUAUUUUCGCGGAGAAAAGAUCGUUUUGAGAAAUAGUGUAUGUUGUACAGCAGCAUGUAAGUACAGAUCCAAGUCUGACAGGUUCAGUCGGCAUUUCGGUAGGAUGGCGCACGCCGGGAGUAUCGGGGCGCAGCGCCCCUGUUCCCUUGUUUAGAAAAAACCCUGCUGUAUACGGUAUAUGGAAUUGACAAAAGUGGUAAGCGUACAUCCGUAUCUCUCUCGCACACAACCGUUAUGUUGGUCUGGACUUAUUUGAUAUAUGUAAGGGAUAAUGUUGUACAGAACGCAGCAGGUCAUUAUCGGGAAAAUAAGCCCAGACAGGGCGACACCCAGACGCGAAGCGGAGGUGUCUUGCUUCGCCCUGAAGGGUAUUAUUUUGCCUUGGUGUAAUGAGCUUGCUGCUAGUCUGCAGUUUCCUAGCUUAAUCUUGCACAAUGCAACCGAUGUCCAUGUUUAUUGUUAACACAAGUAUGAGUGUGUAUCCAGUUUGCUUCAAACGACAGGUAUAUCAGCCUUGAGUUGGUUUCACAGUCGAACUGAAAAUUACGUGCCUCUAUGUGUUUCUUUAGAUUCAAUGGCGUAUUCUUGAAUGAGGAAAUUGUAUGCUUCUGAGGCGGACACAGAAGGCACUUAAAAAUGAAAGUCUUUUUUUUUUUUUUCACGAUUUCCAUAUUGUGUUGUAAUGCAAGCUGCAUAUAUUAUUGCAUUGUUCAUAGAAAGUCAUAUUUUUGACAAAAGCUUUCUCGCUAAUAAAAUAUUAGAUGAGUGGAUUCAU